This 355-nucleotide ribosomal RNA is filed under the name uncultured bacterium. Its description in RNAcentral is "bacterial SSU rRNA". It matches the Rfam family "Bacterial small subunit ribosomal RNA", at positions 9 to 350 of the family's 1533-position model. The record is from RNAcentral.
GUAGUUUGAUCCUGGCUCAGGAUGAACGCUAGCUACAGGCUUAACACAUGCAAGUCGGAGGGGAAACGACAUCGAAAGCUUGUCUUUUGAUGGGCGUCGACCGGCGCACGGGUGAGUAACGCGUAUCCAACCUGCCCACCACUUGGGGAUAACCUUGCGAAAGUAAGACUAAUACCCAAUGACGUCUCUAGAAGACAUCUGAAAGAGAUUAAAGAUUUAUCGGUGACCUGGAUGGGGAUGCGUCUGAUUAGCUUGUUGGCGGGGUAACGGCCACAAAGCGACGAUCAGUAGGGGUUCUGAGAGGAAGGUCCCCCANAUUGGAACUGAGACACGGUCCAAACUCCUACGGGAGGCA